Molecule: ribosomal RNA, 253 nt
Filed under: uncultured bacterium
Lineage: Bacteria
Description: partial 16S ribosomal RNA
Rfam family: Bacterial small subunit ribosomal RNA
Source: RNAcentral
UACGAAGGGGGCUAGCGUUGCUCGGAAUUACUGGGCGUAAAGGGCGCGUAGGCGGCCAUUCAAGUCAGAGGUGAAAGCCCAGGGCUCAACCUUGGAACUGCCUUUGAAACUAGAUGGCUAGAAUUCUGGAGAGGUCAGUGGAAUUCCGAGUGUAGAGGUGAAAUUCGUAGAUAUUCGGAAGAACACCAGUGGCGAAGGCGACUGACUGGACAGAUAUUGACGCUGAGGUGCGAAAGCGUGGGGAGCAAACAGG